RNAcentral lists this ribosomal RNA (334 nucleotides) under uncultured bacterium. Its description in RNAcentral is "partial 16S ribosomal RNA". It matches the Rfam family "Bacterial small subunit ribosomal RNA", at positions 355 to 700 of the family's 1533-position model. The record is from RNAcentral.
UGGGGAAUAUUGCACAAUGGGCGAAAGCCUGAUGCAGCGACGCCGCGUGCGGGAUGAAGGCCUUCGGGUUGUAAACCGCUUUUGAUUGGGAGCAAGCGAGAGUGAGUGUACCUUUCGAAUAAGCACCGGCUAACUACGUGCCAGCAGCCGCGGUAAUACGUAGGGUGCAAGCGUUAUCCGGAAUUAUUGGGCGUAAAGAGCUCGUAGGCGGUUUGUCGCGUCUGGUGUGAAAGUCCAUCGCUUAACGGUGGAUCUGCGCCGGGUACGGGCAGGCUAGAGUGCGACAGGGGAGACUGGAAUUCCCCGGUGUAACGGUGGAAUGUGUAGAUAUCGG